Molecule: long non-coding RNA, 597 nt
Organism: Acanthopagrus latus (yellowfin seabream)
Lineage: Eukaryota; Metazoa; Chordata; Actinopteri; Spariformes; Sparidae
Exons: 3
Source: RefSeq, a predicted model, not a curated record
UAUCGAUUGCCAGUUAAACUCACACACCGCGGCAAGGACAAGGCUCAGAUGGCGCACACUUAGCCAAUCGGAGGCGACAAAGACGGUUCCUUCCCCCCUGAUUGGCUCAUUGUUUAAUCAUGUCAAUCACUCAUUCAUUCCAUUGGUUCUGAAUAGGUUGCAAACUCCGCCAGCAUCGUCAUUCGUCAUUGAUCCGCAUCGAUCAGCAGCAUCGACCAGAAGAGAGAAGACUAUGAACCAUGAAGAGAAAGUCAGAAGACAUCGCUUCUUACUUUAAGAAGAAAAUUAGCGCAGGAGGAGAGAGAGAGCCGACGGUUGAGCAGAGGCAUAGUGAUGAGGAGAUGGAGGAGGAAGAUGAGGGGGAGGAGCAGACAGAGCAGCAUGAGCAUGCUGGAGAGGGACAGUUAGCAGAGAGCACAGAGGCGAGGCAGGGGUCAGCAGCAGGUGUUCGAUCUGCUCCUGGACCAACAGAUAUCUCGCAGUCAAGAGCAGAACAGCCAAAACAGCCACAUCUGCAAAACUUCCCGCGAACCCAUCAAGGGGACAGAAGACGGUGUUUUUCAAAAGACUGGUACAGCAAACAUAAAUGGCUGGAAU